CCGUGGCGACACCGCCAAACUUUACCUGCGGUUUCUGGCUCAUCUGCUAGUCUAUUUGCUCCGAUUUAGCCAUGGGAGUGUUCAAAAUUGAAUUUCGAGCGAAUGAAAAAAUCUUUACCUCUUUUGACUAUUAGAGGUAGCUCCGGCACGGUGGCGGGUGGCGGUCGGCUCCAUUCCCGGCAACUGGUUCUUCUUCUCCGGUGGGGGGUCUGGUGGCUUGGGUUAGAGUUUGGUGUGGGGUGAGGUAUUUAUAUCUGUCUCUUUUAAUUUAGAUCAUCCAUCAAUUUGAUCUGGACCGUCCGAUUGCGUUUAAAUAGGAAGUAAAUCUAAACCAUUCAUCGUGAUUUCAUCUGGACCAUACGAUCGCGUUUAAAGAAGGAAUAAAUCCAGACCGUCCACAUGCGCAAGAACAAAUCCGGACUGUCCGAUCGUAGGCACGCAGAUUGCAAGCGUGACCGCGUCAGAGUGCCUUACCACGCAGCGCACUCCAGUUCGUCGCGGCUGCUGAUUGGGCGUCGUAUGAGGCAAAUUUUUUCUAAAUUCUAUUU
RNAcentral lists this long non-coding RNA (548 nucleotides) under Carica papaya (papaya). RNAcentral describes it as "long non-coding RNA (CPAP_LNC015233)". The record is from RNAcentral. Lineage: Eukaryota; Viridiplantae; Streptophyta; Magnoliopsida; Brassicales; Caricaceae.